RNAcentral lists this transfer RNA (73 nucleotides) under Diaphorina citri (Asian citrus psyllid). It matches the Rfam family "tRNA". From Rfam's summary of the family: Transfer RNA (tRNA) molecules are approximately 80 nucleotides in length. Their secondary structure includes four short double-helical elements and three loops (D, anti-codon, and T loops). Further hydrogen bonds mediate the characteristic L-shaped molecular structure. tRNAs have two regions of fundamental functional importance: the anti-codon, which is responsible for specific mRNA codon recognition, and the 3' end, to which the tRNAs corresponding amino acid is attached (by aminoacyl-tRNA synthetases). tRNAs cope with the degeneracy of the genetic code in two manners: having more than one tRNA (with a specific anti-codon) for a particular amino acid; and 'wobble' base-pairing, i.e. permitting non-standard base-pairing at the 3rd anti-codon position. The record is from Rfam by way of RNAcentral. Lineage: Eukaryota; Metazoa; Arthropoda; Insecta; Hemiptera; Psyllidae.
GCCUAGUUAGCUUGGUUGGUAGCGCGUCUGCCUCGUAAGCGCUAGGCCGCGGGUUUGAAUCCCGCUCGGGGCG